GCAGCACAGAGAAGCUUGCUUCUUGGGUGGCGAGUGGCGAACGGGUGAGUAACAUAUCGGAACGUACCGAGUAAUGGGGGAUAACUAAUCGGAAGAUUAGCUAAUACCGCAUAUUCUCUGAGGAGGAAAGCAGGGGACCUUCGGGCCUUGCGUUAUUCGAGCGGCCGAUAUCUAAUUAGCUAGUUGGUGGGGUAAAGGCCUACCAAGGCAACGAUCAGUAGCGGGUCUGAGAGGAUGAUCCGCCACACUGGGACUGAGACACGGCCCAGACUCCUACGGGAGGCAGCAGUGGGGAAUUUUGGACAAUGGGCGCAAGCCUGAUCCAGCCAUGCCGCGUGUCUGAAGAAGGCCUUCGGGUUGUAAAGGACUUUUGUCAGGGAAGAAAAGGUUGUUGCUAAUAUCGACAGCUGAUGACGGUACCUGAAGAAUAAGCACCGGCUAACUACGUGCCAGCAGCCGCGGUAAUACGUAGGGUGCGAGCGUUAAUCGGAAUUACUGGGCGUAAAGCGAGCGCAGACGGUUACUUAAGCAGGAUGCGAAAUCCCCGGGCUUAACCUGGGAACUGCGUUCUGAACUGGGUGACUAGAGUGUGUCAGAGGGAGGUAGAAUUCCACGUGUAGCAGUGAAAUGCGUAGAGAUGUGGAGGAAUACCGAUGGCGAAGGCAGCCUCCUGGGAUAACACUGACGUUCAUGCUCGAAAGCGUGGGUAGCAAACAGGAUUAGAUACCCUGGUAGUCCACGCCCUAAACGAUGUCAAUUAGCUGUUGGGCAACUUGAUUGCU
RNAcentral lists this ribosomal RNA (782 nucleotides) under uncultured Neisseria sp. Its description in RNAcentral is "bacterial SSU rRNA". It matches the Rfam family "Bacterial small subunit ribosomal RNA", at positions 66 to 840 of the family's 1533-position model. The record is from RNAcentral. Lineage: Bacteria; Pseudomonadati; Pseudomonadota; Betaproteobacteria; Neisseriales; Neisseriaceae.